AAACAGGCUGUUUUCACAGCUACUCAUAUAAUCCUUUGCCUAAAAG
This is a non-coding RNA of Anas platyrhynchos (mallard), 46 nucleotides long. The record is from Rfam. Lineage: Eukaryota; Metazoa; Chordata; Aves; Anseriformes; Anatidae.